GGAGGAAAAUCUGAGGCUCUGAUUACACACCAUGUGAUUCAGAAAGAGACAGAGGAACGGGAUGUUUCUAAAUGACACCAAAGAAGAUGUAUUUGUACAUCAGACUGCCAUCAAGAAGAAUAACCCACGGAAAUAUCUGCGCAGUGUAGGAGAUGGAGAAACUGUAGAGUUUGAUGUGGUUGAAGGAGAGAAGGGUGCAGAAGCUGCCAAUGUGACUGGCCCGGAUGGAGUUCCUGUGGAAGGGAGUCGUUACGCUGCAGAUCGGCGCCGUUACAGACGUGGCUACUAUGGAAGGCGCCGUGGCCCUCCCCGGAAUUACGCUGGGGAGGAGGAGGAGGAAGGGAGCGGCAGCAGUGAAGGAUUUGACCCCCCUGCCACUGAUAGGCAGUUCUCUGGGGCCCGGAAUCAGCUGCGCCGCCCCCAGUAUCGCCCUCAGUACCGGCAGCGGCGGUUCCCGCCUUACCACGUGGGACAGACCUUUGACCGUCGCUCACGGGUCUUACCCCAUCCCAACAGAAUACAGGCUGGUGAGAUUGGAGAGAUGAAGGAUGGAGUCCCAGAGGGAGCACAACUUCAGGGACCGGUUCAUCGAAAUCCAACUUACCGCCCAAGGUACCGUAGGUAUGUCGCAUUUUCCUCUAAUGGCCAG
RNAcentral lists this small RNA (649 nucleotides) under Pan troglodytes (chimpanzee). RNAcentral describes it as "processed transcript". Lineage: Eukaryota; Metazoa; Chordata; Mammalia; Primates; Hominidae. The record is from RNAcentral.